CUGGUCUUGACAUCCACAGAACUUUCCAGAGAUGGAUUGGUGCCUUCGGGAACUGUGAGACAGGUGCUGCAUGGCUGUCGUCAGCUCGUGUUGUGAAAUGUUGGGUUAAGUCCCGCAACGAGCGCAACCCUUAUCCUUUGUUGCCAGCGGUCCGGCCGGGAACUCAAAGGAGACUGCCAGUGAUAAACUGGAGGAAGGUGGGGAUGACGUCAAGUCAUCAUGGCCCUUACGGCCAGGGCUACACACGUACUACAAUGGUCGGUACAGAGGGUUGCGAUACCGCGAGGUGGAGCCAAUCCCAGAAAGCCGAUCCCAGUCCGGAUCGAAGUCUGCAACUCGACUUCGCGAAGUCGGAAUCGCUAGUAAUCGCGGAUCAGCUAUGCCGCGGUGAAUACGUUCCC
RNAcentral lists this ribosomal RNA (401 nucleotides) under uncultured bacterium. RNAcentral describes it as "bacterial SSU rRNA". It matches the Rfam family "Bacterial small subunit ribosomal RNA", at positions 975 to 1375 of the family's 1533-position model. The record is from RNAcentral.